This is a long non-coding RNA of Vombatus ursinus (common wombat), 218 nucleotides long. RefSeq lists it as uncharacterized. The transcript is spliced from 3 exons. The record is from RefSeq and is a predicted model, not a curated record. NCBI's taxonomy places the organism in Eukaryota, Metazoa, Chordata, Mammalia, Diprotodontia, Vombatidae.
AGAGGGGUGAAGGCAGAAAUCUGGUGAAGGUAACAGUGAAGAGGCAAACAGGGAUAUUACAGACAGAACCUGGAGGAAAGAAGAAAUUGGAACCCAUCAGAGUAACUAGCAUCUGGAGGAGUGGGAGAGCAUGGACAUAGGGAAGGAAUUCCAAAGCAAAUGAAGACAAUAGAGUCAACAAAGGAAGCUCAUUUUACAGAUGAGGAAAUAAGGCAAAC